CCUACGGGCGGCAGCAGUGAGGAAUAUUGGUCAAUGGACGAGAGUCUGAACCAGCCAUGCCGCGUGCGGGAGUACUGCCCUAUGGGUUGUAAACCUCUUUUGUCGGGGAGCAAAAGUCGGACGUGUCCGGCUGUGAGAGUACCCGAAGAAAAAGCAUCGGCUAACUCCGUGCCAGCCGCCGCGGUAAUACGGGGGAUGCGAGCGUUAUCCGGUUUUAUUGGGUUUAAAGGGUGCGCAGGGGGAUUUUUAAGUCAGCGGUAAAAUCGGGGGGCUCAACCCUAUCCAGCCGUUGAAACUGGGGGGCUAGAGAGUACGAGAGGUAGGCGGAAUGCGUGGUGUAGCGGUGAAAUGCAUAGAGAUCAUACAGAACCCCGAUUGCGAAGGCAGCAUACCAGUGCACAACUGACGUUCAGGCACGAAAGCGUGGGUAGCGAACAGGAUUAGAUACCCGAGUAGUC
Molecule: ribosomal RNA, 458 nt
Filed under: uncultured bacterium
Lineage: Bacteria
Description: partial 16S ribosomal RNA
Rfam family: Bacterial small subunit ribosomal RNA
Source: RNAcentral